UCCAAAAAGACAACUGCGCAAAAGUAUGUCAGCCUUGGUUAAGUAAACAGUGCCGCCCAUCCCGACGAUUAUCUCUCAGAAAAAAGUCAUGUAUGAAUUAUUCGUAGUCGAGCUUGUAGAUUUUUGGGUUGAUUCCAUCACAGCAGGACGGACGCAAGAUAAAUAAACUUUGGCAGAACAAUGCCAAGGUGUGAAUCGUCUAUAUUUUUUAUCAAGCAAUUUACACCUCCCUCAAUCUUUCCGAAGUCUAAGGAGUCUAUUGGACCGACAGGAAAAACUGACAAUCAAUUAAAAACUCAAAAUUUUAACGUAGAGCGACUGAAGCGGACGCUAGUUCCAGCCUCUCUAGACAAUUCAGAUAGUUUCGAUGGUCCUGAUAUUCCUCGCACUGAGAGGUUCUUGUGGAUGUCUCUGGUAUGGCUGAUAUACAGUUUGACGGUGGUGACGAUCAUCAACUUGGUUUACGAGUGGCUUACUUCAAAGGCCCGAUUCACGAUUCAGAGCAGACCGGUAAACGUCUACGAGAUUCCGUUCCCUGCGUUGACAUUCUGCAGCACGAAUCAGUUUCGACCAUCGGCUGUUAACCUCACUUUACUCCAUAGGAAGGCCCUCAUGCGCCAGGCUUUGUCACCUGAGGAGUGAGUCUUGUUCAUCUAUCAUCAGUAAAUUUUGUUUGUUGCAGACGCGAUGAAAAGGAACGGUUUCCGAGUGACAUUUUUCAACAGAAAAAACGUGAUAUUGUUCGAUUAAGUUGCGAUUUUUUUACGAAUCACUAACAGCUGAGCGAUAUAUCUUCAAUCUUGUCGCAAUUCAUUUUUAUAAAAUUGAAAUUUUAUAAAAAUUUAGCACGAUUUUUCGUUUGAUGAUAUUGCGAAAAAUCGCCAUCCAUAAAAUCGCAACUAUAUUGCAAAUUUAUGCGAUGAAUUCGCAAUUUAUCACAAUUUUUUAACCGAUAAUAUUGCAAUAAAUUGAAGUCGGUAAAAUCGCGAUAUAUUCUCCUUAUCACGAUCUAACUUAUCUCGAUCAUUGCUACUUACGAGGGUGGUAGUAAAUGCUUGAAAGGAGGGAGAAACCCGGAUCGAAGUUCUCUAAAAACGAAUGGCAUAUUAGUCAGGUGAAUCCGAAAACAUGCUUCGAGAAAGUUUGGAGAAAUGGAUCUAUUCGCAAAUGUCUAUGAAGUGUAAAAUGGGGUAAACCCGAAUGGAACUUUCGAAAGUGAAAUAAUGACGAACAUAUUUAACACUUUAACUCUUCACGUUAACUCCUUCUUCUGAAAUUUUUGUGAAAAAUAAUGGAUGUAUUGCUAUUCUCUCUAUCGCUAUUCUCUGAGCUGUCCUUCUGUUUUAGGAUUUCAUUACUGGAUUUGUCGAAUAACGUGUGUUUUAGCGACACCAAUGUAGAGGAAUCAUUCAUAGAUGACAAAGUCAUUAAUUAUAUGAUUCAGGUGAAUAUCAAUAUAUUAGAAAUUUAGCAUGUAAACUGUAAUAACUGCAUGUAGUGACUGAUUUUCCGAUUAAAAAUUUUACGGAAAACUUAAAAAGAUGUGGUAAUCAUUUUUUUAAGGUUUGAAAUCAGAACCUUCGAACAUAUGACUACCUAAAAUGACUGUAUUAAAAUGAACGGGAAAAGUUUUUGUCAAUGAGCUGAGAAUUAUCACAAAGUAUCUGGAAUUUUAUUGGAGACCCCCAAUGAUGGUCGAAGAAAUUCCUAACGUAACAUUACGUAACUUUGCGUACUUAAAAACUGAAUCUCAAUAGCCCAUUGAGAUUAAUUGUAUAAAUUGAACAGAAUCAUAUUAGAAAUUUUUAAUCAGCGGAUUUUUUUUAUCAGUACUGGCUCCUGUUUUGAACGCAUGCCGAACAAUAAACAUUGGCUUGGUGUACUUUGCAAUAUAUUGAUGGAUCUGUCACUUAUACCUUUGGAAAAGGAUCGAUAAACAAGGUAUUCGCAACAAACACCUUAAUAAUCGAUUCUCUACCAUAGCUUCAAAUGGGGGAAAUAUCGAUAAUCGAUCAUUCACGCCUUGUAAUUAAUAAUAAAGCAUUCUAAUAUCAAGACGAGAAAGAAGGUCAGUAUCUGAACUCUAUGUGGAAGGAGUCCUUAACUCUGAAGAUGCUACUCUAGUGAUGGUCCAUCAUUUGUUUAUGGUCAAACGGCUAUAGAUUUACUUUACUUUACUUUACUAGCGGCGCUACAGCCCUGGGUGGGCUUUGGCCUCCAUAACAAUUCCUCUCCACAUCCCUCUAUCUUUGAUUUUUUUCACUCCAUCCUUUUAUUCGCAUUUUCUUCAGGUCUCGCUCAACUCCGUCUAGCCACCGAAGCCCAGGUCUUCCUCUCUUCUUGCUGACAGUAUUUUAGCUUUCAGCACCUUCUUCGGCAUCCUUUCUUCUUCCAUUCUUUGUACAUGGCCCAGCCAGCUUAUCCUUUGCGAUUUGAUAAACCUUACAAUAUCUUCAUUUUCUAAGAUCAUUUCUAUUUCUUCAUUGCUUCUAAUUCGCCAAAACGGCUAUAGAUUAAGAUCGUCUAUUUUUCGAUCAUUUUUUUCUCUCCAGAAAGUUUCACAAAAUGCGCUGACGUCUUUAAAGGUGUCUGGUGGAGAGAUGAGUUCAUUGGAAACGCUUGCGACUACAUGCAAACUGUCUUUACACCUUAUGGACUUUGCUUCACUUUCAACCCUUUGCCGAUGACGUCUCUCUACUCAAAACAUGCAAUACCAUUGUACGAACUUUUCAACUCCAUCUAAAAUACAUCAUGAUAUGCACACAAAACAAGUUUUGGGUAUAAUGACAGAAGUUCAGUUCACGUGGAAAACUAAAUUUUAGUAGGGGUAACCGAGGUUUUCAGCCCUAGAAACCUAACUUCAGAUAAGUUGACUGAGGAUUUUCGUAAAGGAGACGACUUUUUGCGGCUAACAAAAACUUCUGUUGCCUGACUUAAAAAGUUAGUUUCUCAUGACUGAAAAUCUCAGUAGACUAGACUGAAAAUUCCUGUGUUUCAUAUGAGCUAAAGAUUUUUUUCUCCCGCCGUGAAUCGCCUUUUCAAGAAUGCCCAUUCAAAAUUGUUAAAUGUGGAUAUUAAAGUACGAGGAAGAAAAUUUGA
Molecule: long non-coding RNA, 3099 nt
Filed under: Bemisia tabaci
Lineage: Eukaryota; Metazoa; Arthropoda; Insecta; Hemiptera; Aleyrodidae
Description: lncRNA ENSSSA3NGG003302
Source: RNAcentral